Molecule: ribosomal RNA, 277 nt
Filed under: uncultured bacterium
Lineage: Bacteria
Description: partial 16S ribosomal RNA
Rfam family: Bacterial small subunit ribosomal RNA
Source: RNAcentral
GGUGAACGCUGGCGGCGCGCCUUACGCAUGCAAGUCGUGCGGGGCGUGGGCUUCGGCCUGCGCCCAGCGGCGGACGGCUGAGUAACACGUGGGUAACCUGCCCGGAAGUGGGGGAUAACUCGGGGAAACCCGGGCUAAUACCGCAUGUGGUCCCAGGGGGAAGUUCCCUGGGACUAAAGCCCGCAAGGGCGCUUCCGGAGGGGCCCGCGGCCUAUCAGGUAGUUGGUGGGGUAACGGCCCACCAAGCCGACGACGGGUAGCCGGUGUGAGAGCACGA